UCUGGGAGGUUCCUAGUCAACAAGUGUCCACUUUCUGGGUGUGGAUGGAAUAAGAACACAGGGGGAUAGAUGGUGUCAAGGAUAUUUCACAACAGCCACUCAAGAGGCUUGUGAACUGAACCAGCCUCUUACUGGAGAUGCCAUUUCUGGACCAGUGUGCUCAUGUUUCCUGGAUCCAAUGACCCUCCUUCUGCACUUGGCAGCCAAUGAGAGUUGAAACUGGAGGAGAGCCCUUCUGUGCCUGUGAACCCAGCAGAAAUUUUAUAAGAAAAGCCAGUGGCUCCCAGACAAAGUUAAAAAGG
Molecule: long non-coding RNA, 302 nt
Organism: Phacochoerus africanus (Common warthog)
Lineage: Eukaryota; Metazoa; Chordata; Mammalia; Artiodactyla; Suidae
Exons: 3
Source: RefSeq, a predicted model, not a curated record